This 253-nucleotide ribosomal RNA is filed under the name uncultured bacterium. RNAcentral describes it as "partial 16S ribosomal RNA". It matches the Rfam family "Bacterial small subunit ribosomal RNA", at positions 524 to 776 of the family's 1533-position model. The record is from RNAcentral.
UACAGAGGUCUCAAGCGUUGUUCGGAUUCAUUGGGCGUAAAGGGUGCGUAGGCGGCGCGAUAAGUCGGGUGUGAAAUCUCGGGGCUUAACUCCGAAACUGCAUUCGAUACUGCCGUGCUUGAGGACUGGAGAGGAGACUGGAAUUUACGGUGUAGCGGUGAAAUGCGUAGAUAUCGUAAGGAAGACCAGUGGCGAAGGCGGGUCUCUGGACAGUUCCUGACGCUGAGGCACGAAGGUGAGGGGAGCAAACGGG